AUCCCCAAUUAUGGCCCUUUUAUCAGAGUUGCCUGGGCAGGGAGAAGAGCUGUCAACGUGAAGCUUCAGGCACUUAAAUAGGGGAGCUAAUCCAAGCAAGAUUCGGAUUUGCCUCCUCCCCAUCAGUAUAGUUUAGUGGGAGUUUGACAAGAGGGAGUUAAUGGGCUCUUCAUCUAAAUCUACUUGGAGAGUGAAUGACAUUCUUUGGCGAGGUCUUGAACGCUUGCUAUCCUAUGUGAUUAGGAGGUGUGGAGAGUUGUUUGAAACAGCAGCACUUACCCAGGUCUCUGUCUGAAUUGGGGUUUUCUAGAUAUUAAUUCGUCGUUUUUCCUGGUCUCCCCUUGGCCUUGAGUUGCAGGUGAAUGCUGUUUCUAAUUCUGUUUCCUGAGCCAGGAGCAUGUUUGGUGAUUUUCUCAAUCAGAUGUGGGAGUAGAGGAAGGUCCUGCUGUGUGCAGGGCACUUUUCCUGACCUGUAGAGAACAGUUCUUCCUAGGAGGAGUGGUAGAGGGAGAGCAGGGCUGUGGAGGAGGCAGGAGAGAAGUAGGAGAGCUGAAGGGGCAGAAAAUGGGAACUGAAAGAAUGGAAAUUGACCCACCUUGUGCCUGCAAGCACAGGAUAUUCCCCAGGAGGCAGCAAGGCUGAACAGUGGACAUUGGAAGAGACUGAACUUGGGUACCCAACUGUUGAGCGUUAACCACCAGACGGCGCUGUCUCCUUCCUUACAAGCUUUAUAUCACCAGGUUGAGGACAUUGAGGGGGCUUCUCUUUCCCCGUCUCGACGGUAUUCUUGGAGAUACUCCGGCUGGGAUGGAUUUCACCCCUUGUUCUUGUCCUACCGCAGGGGAUCUCCAUCUGUUGCAACCUGUUGAGACCUCUGGCGGUGAUGUUCAGAAAGGAGUCUCCACCCAAAGUCCUAAGCUCUACUACCGGCUCCCUCAUUGAUUUUUCUGCGUGACCUGAAACAAAUCAUGUAACCACUCCCUGCCUUAGUUUCCUUAUUUGUGAAAUAUAUCUUUCUGGUUAAGGCAACAAUCCACUGGCGACUUUCCAUAUUAAGGAUGCUGUAAGGACAAAUUAGCUCAAGUAUUUUAAAAUGAAAGGGUAGCAGCAGACGAAUAAAGAUAGAAUAGGUUUUGUGCUUAUAUAGCCU
RNAcentral lists this long non-coding RNA (1150 nucleotides) under Monodelphis domestica (gray short-tailed opossum). RNAcentral's name for it is "lncRNA (ENSMODG00000039497.1)". The record is from RNAcentral. Lineage: Eukaryota; Metazoa; Chordata; Mammalia; Didelphimorphia; Didelphidae.